Non-coding RNA from Triticum aestivum (bread wheat), 114 nucleotides. The record is from Rfam. NCBI's taxonomy places the organism in Eukaryota, Viridiplantae, Streptophyta, Magnoliopsida, Poales, Poaceae.
CAUGUACUCCCUUCGUUCGGAAUUACUUAUCACAGAAAUGGAUGUAUCUAGAUGUAUUUUAGUUUUAGAUACAUUCAUUUUUGAAAAAGUAAUUCCGAACGGAGGGAGUAUAUG